CCUCCGCUGCUGUCUGACUCCC
RNAcentral lists this non-coding RNA (22 nucleotides) under Mus musculus (house mouse). The record is from RNAcentral. Lineage: Eukaryota; Metazoa; Chordata; Mammalia; Rodentia; Muridae.